CCUACGGGAGGCAGCAGUAGGGAAUCUUCCACAAUGGACGAAAGUCUGAUGGAGCAACGCCGCGUGAGUGAAGAAGGGUUUCGGCUCGUAAAGCUCUGUUGGUAGUGAAGAAAGAUAGAGGUAGUAACUUGCCUUUAUUUGACGGUAAUUACUUAGAAAGUCACGGCUAACUACGUGCCAGCAGCCGCGGUAAUACGUAGGUGGCAAGCGUUGUCCGGAUUUAUUGGGCGUAAAGCGAGUGCAGGCGGUUCAAUAAGUCUGAUGUGAAAUCCUUCGGCUCAACCGGAGAAUUGCAUCAGAAACUGUUGAACUUGAGUGCAGAAGAGGAGAGUGGAACUCCAUGUGUAGCGGUGGAAGGCGGAGAUAUAUGGAAGAACACCAGUGGCGAAGGCGGCUCUCUGGUCUGCAACUGACGCUGAGGCUCGAAAGCAUGGGUAGCGAACAGGAUUAGAUACCCCAGUAGUC
This 465-nucleotide ribosomal RNA is filed under the name uncultured bacterium. Its description in RNAcentral is "partial 16S ribosomal RNA". It matches the Rfam family "Bacterial small subunit ribosomal RNA", at positions 338 to 795 of the family's 1533-position model. The record is from RNAcentral.